GUAGGGAAUCUUCGGCAAUGGACGAAAGUCUGACCGAGCAACGCCGCGUGAGUGAAGAAGGUUUUCGGAUCGUAAAACUCUGUUGGUAGAGAAGAACGUUGGUGAGAGUGGAAAGCUCAUCAAGUGACGGUAACUACCCAGAAAGGGACGGCUAACUACGUGCCAGCAGCCGCGGUAAUACGUAGGUCCCGAGCGUUGUCCGGAUUUAUUGGGCGUAAAGCGAGCGCAGGUGGUUUAUUAAGUCUGGUGUAAAAGGCAGUGGCUCAACCAUUGUAUGCAUUGGAAACUGGUAGACUGGAGUGCAGGAGAGGAGAGUGGAAUUCCAGGUGUAGCGGUGAAAUGCGUAGAUAUAUGGAGGAACACCGGUGGCGAAAGCGGCUCUCUGGCCUGUAACUGACACUGAGGCUCGAAAGCGUGGGGAGCAAACAGGAUUAGAUACCCUGGUAGUCC
RNAcentral lists this ribosomal RNA (450 nucleotides) under uncultured bacterium. Its description in RNAcentral is "partial 16S ribosomal RNA". It matches the Rfam family "Bacterial small subunit ribosomal RNA", at positions 354 to 796 of the family's 1533-position model. The record is from RNAcentral.